RNAcentral lists this ribosomal RNA (1201 nucleotides) under metagenome. Its description in RNAcentral is "SSU rRNA". It matches the Rfam family "Eukaryotic small subunit ribosomal RNA", at positions 4 to 1220 of the family's 1831-position model. The record is from RNAcentral.
CUGGUUGAUCCUGCCAGUAGUCAUAUGCUUGUCUUAAAGAUUAAGCCAUGCAGGUGUAAGAUCAUAUCUAUGAAUGGUGAAUCCGCGAAUGGCUCAUUAAAUCAGUUAUAAUUUAAUAGGAUGUGAUUCGUUAAUUGGAUAACUGUGGUAAUUCUAGAGCUAAUACAUGCAUAUACGGCUGAACUUUGUUUGGCUGUGCUUUUAUUAGUGCAAACCAGGCCUUCGGGCUGCAAAAUGGUGACUCUGAAUAACUUUGCUGAGCAUUUGGACCUUGUGUCAGUGCUAUUCCUUUAAAGUAUCUGCUCUAUCAACUGUCGAUGGUAUAUUAUAUGUUUACCAUGGUUGUAACGGGUAACGGGGAAUUAGGGUUCGAUUCCGGAGAGGGAGCCUGAGAAACGGCUACCACAUCUAAGGAAGGCAGCAGGCGCGCAAAUUACCCAAUCCCGGCUCGGGGAGGUAGUGACAAAAAAUAACAAUGCGGGACUCUUAUGAGACUUCGUAAUUGGAAUGAGUACAUUCUAAAUCCUUUAACGAGGAACUAUUGGAGGGCAAGUCUGGUGCCAGCAGCCGCGGUAAUUCCAGCUCCAAUAGCGUAUAUUAAAGUUGUUGCGUCUAAAAAGCUCGUGGUUUGAAAACUUGCCUUGGCUUACAACAGACGUCUAAGGGCGUCACCGUUUGUCGAGAGCAAAUAUGGGUGACUGUUCUUGCCUUCUUCACUGAUUGGCUCGUAAAAGUCAUCGAAGAUCACUUUGAUUAAAUUAGGGUGCUCAAAGCAAGUGUGCCACUUGAAUAUGAAUGCAUGGAAUGAUGGAAUAUGUUGUUGUUCUAUUUGUUGGUUUUUUGAAUGACGAAAUGAUUGAAAGGAACUGUUGGGGGCAUUCGUAUUGUUGUGAGAGAGGUGAAAUUCUUAGACAUAGCAAGACGAACUACUGCGAAAGCAUUUGCCAAGAAUGUUUUCAUUGAUCAAGAACGAAAGUUAGAGGUUCGAAGGCGAUCAGAUACCGCCCUAGUUCUAACCAUAAACUAUGCCGACUAGCAAUUUGCUUUGUAUUUUUAUGACUAAGUGAGAGGCCACGGGAAACCAAAGUAGGGUUAUGGGGGAAGUAUGGUUGCAAAGCUGAAACUUAAAGGAAUUGACGGAAGGGCACCACCAGGAGUGGAGCCUGCGGCUUAAUUUGACCCAACACGGGAAAACUUACCU